AGUAUCAUUGACACCAAAUAUUCAAAUUGCUUCUAUUCUAGCAUCAUCUGCAUACAUAAUGCUGAUUUUGUUCUCCGGAUUCGUUGUGCCAAAACCACGUAUCCCCAAGUGGUGGCUUUGGCUGUAUUAUCUUUGUCCCACCUCUUGGAUACUAAAUGGCAUGCUUACCUCACAAUUUGGAGAUGUAAACAAAGAAAUAUCAGUGUUCGGUGAGAACAAAACCG
RNAcentral lists this unclassified non-coding RNA (224 nucleotides) under Hevea brasiliensis (rubber tree). The record is from RNAcentral. Lineage: Eukaryota; Viridiplantae; Streptophyta; Magnoliopsida; Malpighiales; Euphorbiaceae.